This is a long non-coding RNA of Spea bombifrons (plains spadefoot toad), 841 nucleotides long. RefSeq lists it as uncharacterized. The transcript is spliced from 2 exons. The record is from RefSeq and is a predicted model, not a curated record. Lineage: Eukaryota; Metazoa; Chordata; Amphibia; Anura; Pelobatidae.
UUGUAAAUGUUAUGACUUUUUAAUCCCUUUCUUUUACCGUCACCAGUACAAAGGAUACUGUUUUACCAUCUGCAGUAUAUUUGCCCAACAUCUGCAACCCCAUCAGUUUACAGUUAACCCCUGUUUUGUUUGUUUUUUUACUAUGAACACUGAGGAGUAAUUGCAGUAAAUUCCCAGACACCCCCUGUUGUACAUGUAUUUCCUCUUCUAUUUCUGUCCCUUUAAAAUCUAAAUCCUGGUGUAGAAUAAAAAUUGCAAUAACCAUAUGCAAAUGUGGUGAGCGGAACACAGCGUGUAAAUCAGAGGAGAGAAGAGCCAGGAGCAAUGGGGAGAGAGAAAGAGGGAGGGGGUGACCCGGGGUUAAUCAGUUUUACUGCUCAGUGAGAGAACGCUGAACAUGGAAAGGGGGGGUUGGAUGAGAGAUGGAAGGCAGGGGGAAGAAAUAGAAGAAAUGAGAGCGGAGAGAAAAAAAAUAAGGAAAAGGUGGAAGCGGGAGAAUAUAUGUAGAGAAAAAUAUGGAACUAGCGGAAUGAUGUCUGAAUGGUGACAAAGAACAAUGUGUUUUAAUUUGGAAAAAUGACAGGGAGUGAAGGUUGAACAAAAAUUACAAGCAAAAUAAAAGGGGCACAAAAAAGACACUGAAUGUGUACAAGAUCCUUUGGAAAAGCCCUUCCUUGUCAAGUCUAUGAUGCUGCUGUGGUCAUCUCCAUCUGAAAAGCACCACCAUAUUGUGAAGUGUAGUACAGGAGGCAACAAAUCAUACUAGAAAAUCGUACUGCAGAAAUUAAUGUGAGCAUACUACAUGAAGCGUAUUGAGUAAAAAAUGAAUAAUACAUCGGUA